This 589-nucleotide long non-coding RNA is filed under the name Centruroides sculpturatus (bark scorpion). RNAcentral's name for it is "uncharacterized LOC111615748". Lineage: Eukaryota; Metazoa; Arthropoda; Arachnida; Scorpiones; Buthidae. The record is from RNAcentral.
ACCAGCUUAAAUUUUAUCAGUUUUCUCUUUACUCAGGUCGGUUUCUUCGUUCUCAGAAAGUUGUUAAUGGAGUCAAAAGAAAGAGAAGACGAAAAAGGAAACACUAUUUCAGCAGAAAAGCAAAAAAAAGAUGACACUAUAGAAAGUAUUCUUGUUGGUCGCUGUUUCGGCCUUGUCCAGUUAUGUAAGAUUGUUAUGGAAAGUGUAAAAAAUUUGAGUGUAAGAGCAACAGGGUAAGAAAUUGUCCAGCUGGAUCUGGAAUCGGUUAUGAUAACGGAAUCGAUGUUGCCGUAGCAAAAAUGUUUGAAAGAAGUCGCUGUAAUAUAUAUAUAUUAUAUAUAUAUUGAGUGGGAUAAUGCUCAAAAAAAAGUGACUGUUAUAUUAUAAAUUAAAAUGGUAGAAUCUUGGAGAAAAAAGAAAUACCUCUUUAAAUAGGUGCCUAUUUACAUUCAUUGCAGCCAAGAUUCUUGUUUUCCAUAUCAAAUGCAUUUCAAAAUGUACGUUGUCUGUUUGACACCAAAUCGGUUUUAUUAUGUGAACUUUUUGUAUAAUUGUUUAUAAAAUUAUAAAAUUGUUUGUUAUAUGAGAA